UGGGAACUCCCAUAUGCCUCGAGUGCAGCCCUAGAAAGCAAAAACAAACAAACAAAAAAGAGUGCAUUCAGUUCUAACUGAAAAUCUAACAUUAGCUUAACAACCAGGACUUUAUCUCAUAAAAGAAGUCUGAGGUUGGCAGGUCAGGACAAGGACAAUGACAAUAAAAGUUACCCUGGAACCAAAUUUAUUCUGGUUUUCUGCUCUUGUGUGCUUGGACUAUUGUCUUAUCUUCAUCUUACUUUCAUGUUCUAGAUCAGAGGAAGGGAGGAACGUAAAAGGCUGAAGGGACAGGAGUUCUCCUUAGGAAAUGUCUUUUAUUAAGGAAAGGAAGUCCUCCCUAGUAGAUAUUUCUUAUGUCUCAAGUAUAGGACUGGGUCACAUGCCCAUCCUUAGACCAAUCCCAGAUUCAUUCCCUAGGGCUGGGGUCAUGCCCAACUUCCCUGAGAUAAAGGGACUUCUACGAGCCUCCUGAAUAAAUCAGGGUUCUAUCACAAGAAAAGAAAGGAGAAUGAGUAUUGAUGGGCAACGGCUAGUGCCCACCAUGGAUACCUUCUUGUGGGAACUAGGCAAGAAUAACAUGGGAGGUGUUGGGAUUGAAUUAAAUAUCAUCACUCUCACAGCCCCCAAGAAAAGAUAUAUCUACUGAUACCUGCUUUACACAAAAAAUGCUCCAAACACCUGCCUAACUUCUCUCUAAAUAUAUCCUUGUGAAAUUGUUGGUCCCCAACAAUGGUUCUUCUGCUCCGUGUCAUUGGAGCCAAUAGAACAAGACCAAGUUCAGCUCAGAAGCAAUGGAAAGCUUUAUCCCUUAAUCGUAGAACGGAGAGACUUGAACUCUAGCAUGCUCUCCCCAGAGACCCUGGGGCAGGGCUGCUUAGUAUGGAUCUCCUCUUCGGAGGAAGGGGCGGGGCGGAGUUCUUGAGGGUCAUGCGCAGUCGUGCUGCUCAGUUAAGGCGGCAUCGUCUCUUCACGACUGCACCUCCACACUUGCGCUGAGACCCCGCUUGGCAGUUCGCCCGGGAACUCUAGUCUGGGGUGUUAGGGGCAAGGGCUCUGCUCACAGUCCCCUAUGGGCAAGUGAAACUAGACUAAGCACAAAAAGAAGACGUCAGACCUUAUCACCUAGAUUCCACCUUGUUUUUCCCAGGACUGUAGUGGGCUCUGCCGGUGACAAAAGGGCUUUUCAAGUCUUCUGUUUAUAUAAGGACCGUUUCUAAUGCCUCCCCACAAUGGUCUUUCCAGGCUACAAAUAAACUGCAGGAAGGAGAAGACUGAGAUGCUGUGCCCACCUCCAACUUUCCUGACGUCUCUUGUCAAUCCCAUGAGGAUCUGGGGGAACAGGUUUCUCUAUGGUCAUUAAACAAAAGGGAAUGACCAGCCGCAGGAACUUCACCAAGUACUGGAUACCACACCUGCUUUUCCAAGUCAGAUACAACCAUCUCCAUUCUAAACAGUCUACAUCUUUGAAGGACUGUGGCAGACCCAGGCUGGGGAUUAGUCACUGGGGUGACUCACAAACAGCAGCUUGCAGCGCCCAGAGGAGGCUCCCAUUUACAACUGAAGUCUGCCCUCUACUGGUCACAAGCAGCCCAAACCCACACCACAAAGCCACUGAAGAGUUUGCUUCUAAAAUCGUUUCUUCUCCAGGAACAUUUUGGAAAUUGCUACAAUUUAUUUAGCUAGAGAAAUACAAAGAAAUGACAUCUUCUGAAAAGUGUUCCUCUUUAAUUUUUUACUUUUUGAUGUUUUUAGGCUUUUUCCUUUUAUUUGACAAUAGCAGAACUGGAUCAGUUUCAGUUAUAUAGAAAUAUAACUUUCAUUUGUGAUAAAUAACCAUUAUUAUUAUCACACUGCCCAGGCACUUCUGCUCCUAUUGACUCAUGAGUCACUAAAAUGCUUUCGCAUGGUAGAAAUGGACAAGGGCUGUUCAAGAUAGAAGGUACUACAAUGUAUGGGCUGUCAACCGUCCAGUAGUUUUCCAGUGGUAGUUUGUAGACUGAGUGUGAGUAAAGAAAGACCCAGAGAUAGACUCUCCUCAAGCUCUGUAGGGUAUCCAUUUGCCCUGUUCAAAGGCUAUGUGGCAUCAGGCAUCUGGGGAUCCCAAGCAGACAUGACAAUCCUUUCUUUCUCUUGCUUCCACAAGGAGGGCACUCUGGCCCAGGAAGCAAAUGCAGGAGAACAUGAAAGGUGAGUGAGAAGGAAGCCAGAGCCUGGGGAGACCACAAGAUAGUGUGAGCAAAAGGCUGAACCCAUGAUGAAAGGAAAAAGCUAGGGGAGGGAAGGUGGGUAAGAGAAAGAAACAGUGGACAAGGGCAGAACAGAGGACUAAAGAAGUGGCUCCAUUUUUCCAAGGGCCAUUGCUACUUUCUGCAAUGCAGGUCACUGUAAGAAUCUAUUUAGUUUUUAGUUAACAAAAGAAGGGAAUCCUUUCUGAUGUUCCAGAGUCCUUGACAAGAGAUGGUUCGGGUUUUUAGGGGAACAAGGACUCCUUUCUGUGAGCAUACAUCCUAGCCAGAGGUCUGGAAAUCUGCCCCCUCCCUCAAGGUGAUCCUCAAAUACAGCCAGAGUGGGGGGCCCACUGCCCACCCCAGGGUCACCCUCCCCCAAAGGGUCUGCCUACCCCUGUCAGUCUGCUCCUCAGGGCUGCAGAAGCCUAGGAUCAGGGUGGAACAGAGAUCCCUGUGUCCUGAUCUUGCUCUUCCCCUCCAUUUCCCUCUUGCCUCCUCCCUCACCUCUGUCCCUGGUCCUCUGGACUCAAGUUCUCUCCUCCCACGUUGCCCCUCUCUGGACUUUGUGACUCAAAAACUCAAGCACUUUAGGAAAAACAGCGCUCAGUGUAUUCUUAGGCGUGGGUGCUGCUGCCCCUUUAAAAUCCACCAUCGACAGAGUGUGGGGGUUGGGGGGAAGCGGGGAGGAAGAAAGAGAGGCAGGUCUUCUGUCUUUCUUCCCGAGAUAAAGGUUAUUCUUAGCAGUAAGAUCGGCUUGGCAUUUGGGGAGAUUUGUGUUUCUCUCCUUCCCGUCCCAGGAGUUUUGCACAAUGCAAUUCCUCUUCUUUGUGCGGGGAAGAAGAUGAACAGGGAGAAAGAGAAGGGAAAAAAGAAGGGCGCGCCAUCACUGUUGCCCUCGUAGGCAUUUCCCAGGACUUACUUUGGAAAGCUGGUCUAGUUGGUCAGAACUGGGCAGGAAAGUGCCCUCACUCCAUCCCCAGAAGGUCAGUUUAAUUCUAACGGACACUUGAAGUGAGAAGACUAAAGGCCAAAUAAACUCCCUAAAGGCCUUUCCACAGCACUUUGUAUGUCGCACAUGUUCAGCUAGCGUUUGCUCAGCCAGUCUCCCGCUUGCACUCUUAUUUGGGCUGGGUCUCCCAGGACAGACUUCGGAGAACUAGGAACUUGAGAAAAUAAAAAAAAAUAAAAAAUAAAAUAAAAAAGGAAAACGGUGGGCCAAUCUCGAAGAAGACUUACGUAAUCUGAUCCCACUCUGGAACCAGACGGUGAGAUUCUGCAGAGCCGCCAGCAGGGGGAGCUCAGGCAGUGUGUCAGAACGUCGGCACCGAAGUUGCCAGGAGCCAAAACCUCCGGAUAAACAAAACAAUGAAUCUUUGUGGUUUCUCUUAGGUUCUUAAUCCUGGGAGGCUCAAUCCAGGACGGCCUGAUUUUCGUCCUAGGGGAGCCAGCUAGCUUCUCCCAGAACACUAGCUGGGUCUUGGAUGUCUUAAUAGGUCUCUCUCUCUGUUCUUCCCUCCUCAAUUGCUUUCUGUCUUCCUCUAUUUUUCAUCUAUUUUCUCAAACUGUCUAUGUAUCUCUUUAUGUGUAUCUCCUUCUGUAAUUCCCCUUUCUCUGAAUCUGUGUUUCUGUCAGUGUUUCUUUCUUGUUAUUUCUCUGUAUGGUCCUUGGCUCACUAGCAAAUGUUAAUGUAAAUGGGGAUGAACCCACUGCAGACUGAGCUCUGAAAGAUUUCAAGAUCUGGCAAAAACUAACACUUAAAAUAAAAUGUAGAAUAAUUAUUCUACACGGGUUCACCACUUAGCUAUUGGGUCAUGUCGUCUUGUUAUAUUUCUCCUGUCUCUGUCCUCCUAGCCUGCUGCCCUUGCAUCCUGCAGUACUGCCUUGAGCAUUGGUUGCUGCCAAGCUGCUGCCCACCUCCCCCUCCCAUUGAUCUCCAGGGGUCAAUGGGACCAGCCCAACAAUGUUUUUCAGGUCUUUUAGAGAAAAUGCCCAUACCAGAAUAACUGUACCUCUAGUGACAUGGUUUUCCACUUCUUAAUUAAGACCCAGCCCAGAACACACUGGAAC
Long non-coding RNA from Sus scrofa (pig), 4298 nucleotides. RefSeq lists it as uncharacterized. The record is from RefSeq and is a predicted model, not a curated record. NCBI's taxonomy places the organism in Eukaryota, Metazoa, Chordata, Mammalia, Artiodactyla, Suidae.